This 458-nucleotide ribosomal RNA is filed under the name uncultured Nitrosomonadaceae bacterium. RNAcentral describes it as "bacterial SSU rRNA". It matches the Rfam family "Bacterial small subunit ribosomal RNA", at positions 925 to 1382 of the family's 1533-position model. The record is from RNAcentral. Lineage: Bacteria; Pseudomonadati; Pseudomonadota; Betaproteobacteria; Nitrosomonadales; Nitrosomonadaceae.
ACAAGGCGGUGGAUGAUGUGGAUUAAUUCGAUGCAACGCGAAAAACCUUACCUACCUUGACAUGCCAGGAACUUGCCAGAGAUGGCUUGGUGCUCGAAAGAGAACCUGGACACAGGUGCUGCAUGGCUGUCGUCAGCUCGUGUCGUGAGAUGUUGGGUUAAGUCCCGCAACGAGCGCAACCCUUGUCCAUUAGUUGCCACCAUUCAGUUGGGCACUCUAAUGAGACUGCCGGUGACAAACCGGAGGAAGGUGGGGAUGACGUCAAGUCCUCAUGGCCCUUAUGGUAGGGCUUCACACGUCAUACAAUGGUCGGUACAGAGGGUUGCCAACCCGCGAGGGGGAGCCAAUCCCACAAAGCCGAUCGUAGUCCGGAUUGGAGUCUGCAACUCGACUCCAUGAAGUCGGAAUCGCUAGUAAUCGUGGAUCAGCAUGUCACGGUGAAUACGUUCCCGGGUCUU